This 72-nucleotide transfer RNA is filed under the name Phrynosoma platyrhinos (Desert horned lizard). Its description in RNAcentral is "tRNA-OTHER". Lineage: Eukaryota; Metazoa; Chordata; Lepidosauria; Squamata; Phrynosomatidae. The record is from RNAcentral.
GUCUGUGUGGUGUAGUGGUUUGAGCGUUGGACUAUGACUCUGGAGACUAGGGUUUGAAUCCCAGCUCUUUCA